Long non-coding RNA from Alosa alosa (allis shad), 727 nucleotides. RefSeq lists it as uncharacterized. The record is from RefSeq and is a predicted model, not a curated record. The transcript has 4 exons. Lineage: Eukaryota; Metazoa; Chordata; Actinopteri; Clupeiformes; Clupeidae.
GCAGGCAUGUAGCUAGCCAUUCAUUCAGAUCCUGGUAUUAGGCCAUGGUAUAAAGGUGCCUAGUAGGUCGGACUGUCUUCCUCUCUGUCUCUCGCUCGGUUUGUCCCUGGGUUUCACGCAGGAGCCAAUCGCCAGCUCUGCGUCUCCCUUACUCUGCCGUGGCUGUAUGGAACCUGACCUGUCUAGCAUUAGAUAACUCUCCCCUGCAGCUUAUGACGAUGGCACGGCGUGUGUUUUAAGCGUUCUUUAGGCCUACUGGCUAAUCAGUGACUGCAAGUGUUUGGCCUGUGGGUUAUCUUCGGCGGGGGGUAGCUAGUCACCUGGUGGCGGGCUUGUGAACUUCACUUUGGAGUGUACUAUGGAAUAUCGGUGGUGGCUUGCUGUGACAAUGGUGUAACACUUUUCUGCAGUGGGAGUGCACGUGUGGACACCUUCCUUGAUAGUCUGCUUCCCCCCCAUCCAGGUAAGCCCUGCCUGCCAGUAUAAUUUUCUGUUUUAUUUUGGUGUGUGCAACAUUCCCAGCUGAUGUGGGCUUGUGCUAUUUAACUCAUGUCCUGCAUCCUACACGACAGUAGAAAGAUACAAUAAGAACACUAAAAUAAAGUAUAUUUUUAUAUGUUUCUAACCCCUGCCAGUUAUUUUCAGUUUCAGCAACAGAUCACACCACACUCCCCCCUCCCUCUCCCCAACAGUGCUUUCAAUAAACGGACAUUUGAUUUGAUUGGAA